GAGAGAGAAAGGGAGAGAGAGAGAGAGAAAGACCUUGCAUGCGCUGGUUCACUGCCCGAAUGAACCAUGGGCUGUGACGGCUGGAGCUGAGCUGAUGGGAAGCCAGGAGCCAGCGUCUUGUGCGUGACUUUAGGUCCAGUUGGUCAAGUACAGCAGAUGGAUUCAGACAGUGACUGAAAGGUAGAAGCGUGUGGAGCGUCUUGGGUGGAGGAUCCAGCAGCAGUUUGCGAGGUGGCCUCUGCAGGAUCAGCCGUGAGCAGUGCGUCCAAUGGAUCCCAUAUGGAUGCCAAUUUGUGUCCCAGCUGCCCUGCUUCCUGUCCAGUUCCCUGCUUGUGGCCUAGGAAAACAGUGCAGGGUGGCCCAAAGCCUUGGGACCCUGCACCUGUGUCGGAGACCAUGAAGAGGCUCCUGGUUCCCAGCUUCGUAUCAGCUCAGCUCUGGUCAUAGCCGCCA
Ochotona princeps (American pika) is the source of this 453-nucleotide long non-coding RNA. RefSeq lists it as uncharacterized. The transcript is spliced from 3 exons. The record is from RefSeq and is a predicted model, not a curated record. NCBI's taxonomy places the organism in Eukaryota, Metazoa, Chordata, Mammalia, Lagomorpha, Ochotonidae.